Long non-coding RNA from Homo sapiens (human), 2229 nucleotides. NCBI's taxonomy places the organism in Eukaryota, Metazoa, Chordata, Mammalia, Primates, Hominidae. The record is from Ensembl.
CUGCAUGCCUUCUUACAACAAACUGCGUGGUGGGCGCACCAGCCUUCCCCAUCUGACUCUGUGUGCUGCCCACCUGGUGGUUGUGCUGGAGGUUUUGAAGAGUGAGACUUUGGCCCCAGGUCUCCUGCCUGAGAGCUGCGUAAACCUAGAGCCUUGUCUCACAGAGCCCCUGUUCCCACAGCAUUAAAGUGGAGAUGACAGAGUCCCUCCUGGAGAGCCGGUCUAGCCAUUCAGUGAGUCAGCAGCACAGCUCCUCCAGCACGCAGAGAACAGCGGUCCAUGGAGGGAGGGCGUGAGCCUGGGGUUUUACUGAGGAAGGAUAGUGGGUUUUUCAGUCCCUGAAGCUGCUGCUCUGCCCACUCAGGAAGGUGAGGAAGGCAGACGACAGCGUACAUCCAGCCUCUGCUCUCCCUUGUUAUUUUCUGUCUCUUUGGUGGCAGCCAUCCUAACGGGUGUGAUGUGCCUUCAAGGGCCUCUUAACAGGUCGGGGCAUUGGGACCAGCCACUCGGACAGGAAGGACCAAUACGGGAGCAGGUUUGUGGACAGAAUCUGACCAGUCACUGCACCUGGUCCCGUGAGUGUGGGGCUCAGUCCUGUGGCUCAUGUCAUGCCCUGCAGGCUGAUGUGAGGGACAGGCCAUGGCCAGCGAUGCUUGUCUCUGCUCCACGCUGUUCACAAACUCGUUAGUAGCUGAGACUUACUCCCCACAGUCCCCCACUGCCUGUCUCUUCAAAGCAAGGCCGUUUCUCACACUCAGCCUGAGUCUCCUUGAGUGGGGCCUUUCAACAGCCAGGGCCCCUUCUUCCCUGGGCAGAGACGCCAGACCAAUCUGAAUAAUGGCACCCCGUGUAUGUCUGUGAAGUGCAGGAAGGCAGUCGACAGGCCAGCCUCACCCUGGCCUCCAUCACCCUGGGGCCCGGAUGCCUCUGCCCGCUCAGCCUCAGUGACCUUAGGGCCUCUGGGGUAGAGAAAGGAGGGUGGAUGCACUGAGCUCUCUGGCCGAGUGGACAUGCCGGCCAGGCCAGGCUGUGACGUCAUCCUGGGUGGGGGCUGUCGAAUGUUGCCCCUGGUGGCUUGGAGAGAGUGGGUUUCUCAUGGGUUUCACAUCAGGCGCAGGUGGGGCAGGACUGUGGUUUGCCGUGAAGCAGCUGGAGGACUGAGGGAGAAAUGGGCUCUCAGUGAGACACAGCUCCCUCCUGUCUAAAAUGGGGACGUGGUGGUGCCCCAGGCCAGAGAAGGCAACCCUGCUCACAGUCACUGUCUAUAUUGGAAAUGGGGUGAAGGGUCUGCAGACGCUUGUCCCAGCUCUGACAUUACCCAUUUGUAGAACCUUGGACCAGUGAAUCAACUGCCAUAAAUCCCAGUUUCCACACCCGGGAGGUGGACCCCUCAAUGCCACACACGCUUCCAGCUGGCUCAAGAGACUGAGCGAGACUGGACUCGCAGCAGCCGGCGUGGUGCCUGCACACGCGUGUGCGGUGGUUCUCAGCAGGGGGCGGCGCGGUGCCCGCACACGCGUGUGCGGUGGUUCUCAGCUGCCGGUUCCUGAGUCUUCCUCUCUUUCCAUCCAAACUACGCACUUGCUUACAGCACUGAAAGUGCGAUGCAGUCUCUUGGGGCCUCGCUUUCAUCCUAUGGGAGAUCUUGGGCUGAAGAAUAGUAUCCAAGGACAGUUCUGACUUUAGUACUUGGGUUUAUUUUAUUUUUUUUGAAAAAAGCAAUAUUCAUCAAACUAUACAAAAUGUUGCAAUUAGCUUCUUAUUGUCACUGAACUCAGUAAUGAAGGAAUUGAGAAUUUUGUUUUCCUUUCAUCAUUUUUAUGUUUCCUUGUACGCUGUAAUGAAUGUCGCCACUUACUCUCAGGUAACUAUGUGGAGUGACAUGAGCUAAUUACAUACUUUGUAACCUCCAAUCAGCAGAAUCUCACAAUAUAUCAUGAUAAUGCCCUUGUAUUUCACUGCAAGAAUGCCUGGCAGAAUUGCGGGUUAAUUAUGCACACCUUUAAUAGAAUCAUGGUGUGGGGCAGGAGUGGGGGCCUCAGGAGAGAGAGAUGCGGAGUCAGCUCCUCUGCCCUUCCCGGUCCUGACGGCUGCACGGUUGUCCUCUGCUGCCAGGGAGGUAUAUGUUGGUUGCAUUUAUUUAUAUAAUUAUAAAAAGCCCUUACCCUUGCAAAGCAAUUUAUACUGAACAAAAUAUAUUCAUAGGUAGUAUUUCAUUUGAUUCACAAA